UCCGUAGGUGAACCUGCGGAAGGAUCAUUCACAAUAAGUGUUUUAUGGCACUUUUUCAAUCCAUAUCCACCUUGUGUGCAAUGUUGUCUUGUAACGCGAAUGCUUGUCAUUUGCGGUACAGGAUGUAAACAUCAACUCUUAUUUUUAACAACUUUGUCUGAAAACCUGUAUGAAUACUUAAUUCAAAUACAACUUUCAACAACGGAUCUCUUGGCUCUCGCAUCGAUGAAGAACGCAGCGAAAUGCGAUACGUAAUGUGAAUUGCAGAAUUCAGUGAAUCAUCGAAUCUUUGAACGCAUAUUGCGCUCUCUGGUAUUCCGGAGAGCAUGCUUGUUUGAGUAUCAGUAAACACCUCAAAUCCCUCUACUUGUUGGAGGAAUUUGGACUUGAGCAAUCCCAACUUUUCGAAAGAGAAGGCGGGUUGCUUGAAAUGCAGGUGCAGCUAGAUUCUUUCUUCUGAGCUAUAAGCAUACUUAUUUAAUCCCGUCAAACGGAUUAUUACUUUUGCUGCAGCUAACAUAAAGGUUGAAGAGUCGCUAUGGCUGACUGAUGCAGGAUUUAACAUGUCGCGCAAGCGAUCUGUAAACUCGAUCUCAAAUCAAGCAAGACUACCCGCUGAACUUAAGCAUAUCAAUAAGCGGAGGA
This 645-nucleotide ribosomal RNA is filed under the name uncultured fungus. RNAcentral describes it as "eukaryotic LSU rRNA". The stretch from base 191 to 344 matches the Rfam family "5.8S ribosomal RNA". Lineage: Eukaryota; Fungi. The record is from RNAcentral.